This 253-nucleotide ribosomal RNA is filed under the name uncultured bacterium. RNAcentral's name for it is "partial 16S ribosomal RNA". It matches the Rfam family "Bacterial small subunit ribosomal RNA", at positions 524 to 776 of the family's 1533-position model. The record is from RNAcentral.
UACGGAGGAUGCAAGCGUUAUCCGGAAUGAUUGGGCGUAAAGCGUCCGCAGGUGGCAAUGUAAGUCUGCUGUUAAAGAGUCUAGCUCAACUAGAUAAGAGCAGUGGAAACUACAUAGCUAGAGUACGUUCGGGGCAGAGGGAAUUCCUGGUGUAGCGGUGAAAUGCGUAGAGAUCAGGAAGAACACCAGUGGCGAAGGCGCUCUGCUAGGCCGUAACUGACACUGAGGUGCGAAAGCGUGGGGAGCGAACGGG